CACAAGCCGUGGAAGGGAGUGGACGGUUCGAGCGGCGCACAGACGACUGUCUCUCCCCGAUCCCUUUCUCUCCUUCAUCUCUCCUGUUCGUUGUCAAAACAGAAAUCCCCCACAUCCCAUCGAUCAGCGGCAAAGAAGGAAGGGCACGGCUGGCGGGGAAUCGCCGCCAUGACUGCGUGCAAAGGGGAGAUUGGUGCAGUAGCGGCCAGGCGAAGAGAUCUCUUUGUGGAUCCGGCAACUGUGCGGGCAGUGACAAAAAAGACUAGAUCGGCAAGGCGGGAUGGACACGGUGAGGCGCCACCAUCCGGCGGUGGGCGGCGGCUGCGGGGGCCCGACGUCGUUGCGGUGCUCCAGCUCUUCGGCGCAGGAGUUCGCGGGGCUGGCGUCCGUGUUCCGGCGGCGGCUGGUGGUGGGGACGACUAUGGUGGCGGCCGACUUUGGGGCGUCAUCAGGCUGUCCCCAGAGCUCGGGCGCUCGCUGAGGCUCGACGUGCCUGGACUCCUCCAUCUGCGGCUUCACACGAUGCCUGGACUCCUUCAUUGAUUCGGUAAUUUGAUGCCUGGACUCCUUUGGUAGCUUAGCUUCCUUCUCCUACUUUUUUUUAUCAACUCUUGGUUGAACAAACAGACUACUACUGCUCAACGUUUACGCAUUAACAGCUGAUUUCUGUCAUUCCAUUCUCCUCAAGGGAUUGAGUUGCUCUUUCAGAUCCGUCACGCCAUUUUGCUAAAUUUUUCAGAGUUCAAAGCUUUUGGAUUCUAGCCAAACACUAUACUACUGAGGUAAUAUCAUGCAAAAAAGAAGCACUUCAGCCACAACUCAUUUAGGGACCAGCCGAAAAUGUUGCACACACACAUAUUCGCGCGUGGCCGCAGAGUUGCACGCUCUAGUUGGUAUAGUCGCACACGCUUGGUCGCAUAGUUGCACACUCUUUGGCACAUGCCCGGCCGUGUAGUCGCACAUGCACGCCCGCGGAGUUGCACACCCUCGUCCGCGUGGUCGCACAUGCACGCCCGCGGAGUUGCACACUCUUGCCGGUAUAGAAGCACAUGCCCAGCCGUGGAGUUGCACGCUCUUGUUCGAGUAGUCACGCAUGCACUCCUGCGGAGUUGCACACUCUUGUCGACUCUUGUCGGCAUAGGAGCACACGCCUGGCCGCAGAGUUGCACACCCUCGUCCGCGUGGUCGCACAUGCACGCCCGCGGAGUUGCACACUCUUGCCGGUAUAGAAGCACAUGCCCAGCCGUGGAGUUGCACGCUCUUGUUCGAGUAGUCACGCAUGCACUCCUGCGGAGUUGCACACUCUUGUCGACUCUUGUCGGCAUAGGAGCACACGCCUGGCCGCAGAGUUGCACACCCUCGUCCGCGUGGUCGCACAUGCACGCCCGCGGAGUUGCACACUCUUGCCGGUAUAGAAGCACAUGCCCAGCCGUGGAGUUGCACGCUCUUGUUCGAGUAGUCACGCAUGCACUCCUGCGGAGUUGCACACUCUUGUCGACUCUUGUCGGCAUAGGAGCACACGCCUGGCCGCAGAGUUGCACACUCUCGUCCGCGUACGUAGUCGCACACGCACGAUCACGGAGGUGCACACUCACUUCCAAGCAGUCGCACACGCACGGCCACAGAGGUGCACACGUGUGUCGGCACAGUCAUGUGUGCGUGUGGUUCUUUGGUUGCACACUCAAGUGUGCCCUGUUUUCAAGUGUAUACGUGAGGAGUUUGUAGAUCUAAGCAGUUCAUAUCCUAGUUGGCUUUGCCACAGUUAUGCAGUUUCACAGGGAAUGGCUAUCGGCUAGUUUAGUUUUGGCUCCAGUGCCUACAUCAUCUUCAGGCAGUGUGUAUGCUGAUUUUUUUUUGGUUGCACACUAAUGUCUGCCCAGUUGGCCAUACAGUGCAUCAAGUUGCACACAAUUUUGUUUUGUUUGGUAGGUGUGCUUUGAAAAAUCAGCAUGAGUUGCUUACCUCAUGGCACUUUUUUGAUAUCAAUUGUUCUUGCUCAUUUUUUCUUUAUACAUUUGGUUGCUGCGACUAAUUUGUUUGUUCGCUUUUUUUAGCAGACUAAAAAUGGUUGUAGAAGGAGAUGUGGCUCCUAGUGAAGGAUAGGCAUGCUCGCUUUUUCAUCGUUUUUCAUUUAUCCUUGUAGCAGUUUUGUUUUCAAUUAUAAUAACUAUUAUUUUGGGGUUUUCCUACCAUGUUCUAUGUUUUGUUUGUUUUAUGCAGGGGUCUGCAAACUGUUCUUCUCGGCAGAAUUCGAAACGGCAUGCCGAUCGGCAGUCUCGUCGUGUUGAUAUCGAUAGGGAGGUAGAGGAUGAUGAGGUUGGUGACCAAUUCUGCAUUGUGAAACGAUGGAAAUGGAAGGCGGCCGCGCUGGUGGGAGUUGUGUAUGGAGAUGGCACAUCGUUUGCAACAGUUGUUGAGGUUUUACAGGUUAUGGGGGUAGAAGAGCUGCUAUAGAUUUGUGCACACAAUUCUCAGCUACAAAGUCACAUAUACUACUGUGUGGAAAGAUCAAAGGAAAAAAACACUUCCAAACCAGAUUCUUGUCUAGUAGUUGCACGAAAAUCAGUUAAAAGAGCACAAGUACCAGAUCUCCCCGUUUUAAUCUCUGUUUAUGCUAUCUUCAACAACUAUGGAGAAGCUACUUUUGCAAAGAGAAAUUUGGUGAGGGAGAAAGGGAAAGGCAAGGAGGAAGGACCUGAACAGGAGGAGAAAGGAUCACCUCUUUUUCCACCCUUGCUGGUGCCUACUGCCUGCUCUAGCAAUGGAGAUCCAGACAUGAAAACCCCUUUGUUUCAUGGGUAAGAAGGUGGGGCAGGCAGAGGCGUGGGGAAAAAGAAGUUGGUGGUCAGAGGGGCGUGAGAGCUUCAGGAGGGGAGGGAAGGGCAUGUGAUGGCCUGGGGACCACGUCCAAUGUGUGGUUUGUUGGGUUGACGCGCCUGUUGCUACCGGGGAAGGGCUUUCCUUUUCUGAGAUGGGGGGGGACAGGAUCUUUCCUUUCCUAGCGGCCGCCGGGGAACGCUAGGGAGCAGCCGGCCGCUCCUAGACGCUCCCUUUUACUAGAUCUGGAGAUUUUCUGCAGCUAAAAAAGUCAUCAAGGAAGCAAAAAAAAGAUUUUUGAGAAAAAAAACUUUGUGUGUGUGUGCGUUUUUUUUUUUGAGAAACUAAAAAAAUAUUGUGUAGUACGUCAGACAACCUCUAGGCUACCUUGCACAGGCAGAACGAUCCUCUACAGCCAUCGGACUGCAGGGAGGAGUGGGGAAUGACCCUUUGAACCGAACGCAUCACGCUAAUUUUUUUAAAUAAUACAUUUUUUUUAUUAAUUUGCAAAAAUAUUACGCUGAAAAAAUAAUU
Long non-coding RNA from Triticum urartu, 3351 nucleotides. RefSeq lists it as uncharacterized. The record is from RefSeq and is a predicted model, not a curated record. Lineage: Eukaryota; Viridiplantae; Streptophyta; Magnoliopsida; Poales; Poaceae.